This 301-nucleotide ribosomal RNA is filed under the name uncultured bacterium. RNAcentral describes it as "partial 16S ribosomal RNA". It matches the Rfam family "Bacterial small subunit ribosomal RNA", at positions 509 to 809 of the family's 1533-position model. The record is from RNAcentral.
CAGUAGCCGCGGGAAUACGUAGGGUGCAAGCGUUGUUCGGAAUCAUUGGGCGUAAAGCGCGUGUAGGUGGUUAUUUAAGUCGAUUGUGAAAUCCCUGGGCUCAACCGAGGAAGUGCAGUCGAAACUGAAUAGCUAGAGGACGGCAGAGGAAGGUGGAAUUCCAAGUGUAGAGGUGAAAUUCGUAGAUAUUUGGAGGAAUACCUGUGGCGAAGGCGGCCUUCUGGACCGGUCCUGACACUGAGACGCGAAAGCGUGGGGAGCAAACAGGAUUAGAUACCCGGGUAGUCCCUGUCUCUUAUAA